Molecule: ribosomal RNA, 460 nt
Filed under: uncultured bacterium
Lineage: Bacteria
Description: partial 16S ribosomal RNA
Rfam family: Bacterial small subunit ribosomal RNA
Source: RNAcentral
CCUACGGGAGACAGCAGUGAGGAAUAUUGGUCAAUGGGCGGGAGCCUGAAGCAGCCAAGUCGCGUGAGGGAAGACGGUCCUAUGGAUUGUAAACCUCUUUAGGCGGGGAGCAAUGCCGGGCACGCGUGCCCGGAGGGAGAGGACCUGUACAAUAAGCAUCGGCUAACUCCGUGCCAGCAGCCGCGGUAAUACGGAGGAUGCGAGCGUUAUCCGGAUUUAUUGGGUUUAAAGGGGGCGGAGGCGGAUUUUUAAGUCAGCGGUAAAAUGUGCGGGCUCAACCCGGGCCGGCCGUUGAAACUGGUGAUCUUGAGUGGGCGAGAAGUAUGCGGAAUGCGUGGUGUAGCGGUGAAAUGCAUAGAUAUCACGCAGAACUCCGAUUGCGAAGGCAGCAUACCGGCGCCCGACUGACGCUGAGGCACGAAAGCGUGGGGAUCGAACAGGAUUAGAUACCCCAGUAGUG